Molecule: ribosomal RNA, 254 nt
Filed under: uncultured Armatimonadota bacterium
Lineage: Bacteria; Bacillati; Armatimonadota
Description: uncultured Armatimonadetes bacterium partial 16S ribosomal RNA
Rfam family: Bacterial small subunit ribosomal RNA
Source: RNAcentral
CUAGCCGUAAACGAUGGAUACUAGGUGUUAGAGGUAUCGACCCCUCUAGUGCCGCAGCUAACGCAUUAAGUAUCCCGCCUGGGGAGUACGACCGCAAGGUUGAAACUCAAAGGAAUUGACGGGGGCCCGCACAAGCGGUGGAGCAUGUGGUUUAAUACGUCACUAACCGUAGAACCUUACCCAGGCUUGACAUCUGGUGUAAGUCCAUGAAAGUGGUACCCCUGUAUGGAAACAUACAGCAGCAAGACAGGUGU